RNAcentral lists this ribosomal RNA (192 nucleotides) under uncultured Staphylococcus sp. RNAcentral's name for it is "partial 16S ribosomal RNA". It matches the Rfam family "Bacterial small subunit ribosomal RNA", at positions 148 to 334 of the family's 1533-position model. The record is from RNAcentral. Lineage: Bacteria; Bacillati; Bacillota; Bacilli; Caryophanales; Staphylococcaceae.
UUCGGGAAACCGGAGCUAAUACCGGAUAAUAUAUUGAACCGCAUGGUUCAAUAGUGAAAGACGGUUUUGCUGUCACUUAUAGAUGGAUCCGCGCCGCAUUAGCUAGUUGGUAAGGUAACGGCUUACCAAGGCAACGAUGCGUAGCCGACCUGAGAGGGUGAUCGGCCACACUGGAACUGAGACACGGUCCAG